UUAAAAAAUUCAAUAGGUGGCGCAGUAUCCUAGUCAGAAUCCCUACUUCGAAGGCGGGGCUAAAAAUCCGCUAAAGGGCACAUCGAUGAAGUUCCUGGUUUCGGCUGCCGACGCCCAGUCGGGGGUCGGGGCUGGGAGUAAGGAGGAAGGGCGAUCUACAAUGGCAUGUAGGCGUUGACCCAGCCUCCGUGGAGGCCUGUAAUCCGGACGAUAAGAGAUUCGGGUUACAGGAUAAACCUACAAGAGAUUCUGUUUUUGAAACAGAGUCGAGUGUAGCGUAGCCUGCCUUGAGUGGUGUUGGUGGAUUACGGGUUAUCAGGCGCUUUGGAUUCGGGCCCGAUUCCAAAGGGCUUGCUGUUUGAAACCUCCACUGCAAAAGAGGCUAGAAGUAGUUCGUUUCUGUCGAGGAAAACUCCUAGGCUGUUCAACCGGACGGUUGAGGUGCGCUGGGGAUUAAAGUAUGGACUCAGUGGUAAUCCAGUCCUGUACAGGGCGACCGUACAGAUUCGUCAUAAAGGGAAACCGCCGACAUGGCAACGUGUCGGAGACGGAUGGGAAAACCUACUGGACCUAAGCCAUAACAUUUACUCAGCGUAUUGCCACCUGACCUUACAUAUCU
This is a non-coding RNA of Thermincola sp., 619 nucleotides long. Lineage: Bacteria; Bacillati; Bacillota; Clostridia; Eubacteriales; Thermincolaceae. The record is from Rfam.